Molecule: long non-coding RNA, 112 nt
Organism: Varanus komodoensis (Komodo dragon)
Lineage: Eukaryota; Metazoa; Chordata; Lepidosauria; Squamata; Varanidae
Exons: 2
Source: RefSeq, a predicted model, not a curated record
CCCAGCAGCUCCUUCCAGCUCUGUCUUUUGGCCAAAGAACAUGCUGCUUCUUGCUGGAAACUCCAAGUCACCAGGGUGCACCCGUUCAGAAUAAAAGGAGUGCCUACAUUUU